This 541-nucleotide ribosomal RNA is filed under the name uncultured bacterium. Its description in RNAcentral is "partial 16S ribosomal RNA". It matches the Rfam family "Bacterial small subunit ribosomal RNA", at positions 355 to 902 of the family's 1533-position model. The record is from RNAcentral.
UGGGGAAUAUUGGACAAUGGGCGGAAGCCUGAUCCAGCAACGCCGCGUGAGGGAUGACGGCCUUCGGGUUGUAAACCUCUUUCAGUACCGACGAAGCGAAAGUGACGGUAGGUACAGAAGAAGGACCGGCCAACUACGUGCCAGCAGCCGCGGUAAUACGUAGGGUCCGAGCGUUGUCCGGAAUUAUUGGGCGUAAAGGGCUCGUAGGCGGUUUGUCGCGUCGGGAGUGAAAACAGCGGGCUUAACUCGUUGCUUGCUUUCGAUACGGGCAGACUAGAGGUAUGCAGGGGAGAAUGGAAUUCCUGGUGUAGCGGUGAAAUGCNCAGAUAUCAGGAGGAACACCGGUGGCGAAGGCGGUUCUCUGGGCAUUACCUGACGCUGAGGAGCGAAAGUGUGGGGAGCGAACAGGAUUAGAUACCCUGGUAGUCCACACCGUAAACGUUGGGCGCUAGGUGUGGGGUCCUUUCCACGGAUUCCGUGCCGUAGCUAACGCAUUUAAAGCGCCCCGCCUGGGGGAGUACGGCCGCAAGGCUAAAAACUC